GCAUAAUCUCCCUGCGCUCAUUGGUUCUCAGCUAAUGGGAAGGUGAGGUCUGACUUCAUUUAUGGGAAUAAACAGAAUAUAUAAGUCCCUGCAGCUGCUGCAGAAUCACCGUCAGAGAAAGUUCUUGCUUCAACAGUGAUUGAACGGAACUGCUUCUGAUAUUCAGAAACAAAAUCAUUUUACUCUACCAGUUCUUUAAGAUCAACAGCAACAUGAACUCUCACGUGCGUCAGAACUACAGCCAUGACAGCGAGGCAGCCAUUAACCGCAUUGUGAACCUUAAAAUGUUUGCGUCGUACACCUACCUAUCCUUGGUAAGUUGAAAAAUAUCUUGAUAUUUGACAGUGUUUAUAGUAGUUUACAUAUUAAACUUGCAAAGUUCCAAGAACACUCUGAUAGAUUUUCUUAAAGGGACACUAUAGUCACCUGAACAACUUCAGCUUAAUGAGGUUGUUCAGGUGAGAACUAUAGCUCCCUGCAGCCUUUCUCAUGUAAACACUGUAUUUUCUGAGAAAAUACUGUGUUUACACUGAAAGCUAGGUACACCUCCUGUUGCAGUCACUCAGAGUGAACCAGAGGAACUUCGGAGUUGAUGGAGGCAUAAUAUGCCUCCAUCCACUCAGAUCUGCUGUCAGCAGAGCACAGGGCAGCACUGUGCACAGCAUCCUGUGAUUCAGUAUCUCCUACCUCUGCAUGCAGAUACUGAACUUUCCUCAUAUAGAUUCAUUGAUUUAAUUCAUCUCUAUGAGGAGAUGCUGAUUGGCCUGGGCUGUGUUUGAAUCAUGCUGGCUCUGCCCCUGAUCUGCCUCCUUCUCAGUCUCAGCCAAUCCUAUGGGGAAGCACUGUGAUUGGAUCAGGCUACUACAUGUCAGCAGACUGCUUGUUUUUCUGAGUCUAACAGCAUGCAGAUUUCCAGCUUCAGGCUUGAAUACAGUAAGAUUUUUACUAUAUUUAUGGAAGUAUGAGGGAUCCAAGGGGGGCUAGAUGGUGGUGUUAACACUAUAGGGUCAGGAAUACAUGUUUGUGUUCCUGACCCUAUAGUGAUCCUUUAAAACAGAUUAAUCAGAAAUAUGUCUAUCUACCCGAUCUAUAUAUGGGUCUAUAUAUAUUUAAUUUUGUCCAUUUUUAUUGUUAGUCUUACUACUUUGACCGUGAUGAUGUGGCUCUCCAUCACGUAGCAGAGUUUUUCAAGGAGCAGAGCCAGGAGGAGCGGGAGCAUGCCGAAAAACUUCUGAAAUACCAAAGCAAGCGCGGAGGGCGGAUCAUUCUGCAGGAUGUGAAGGUAAACAUGAGCAAUGGCAAACAAUAUUUGGGGCAGGGAAAGGUAAUCUGUAUGAAUCUGGGCUUGGUUAUCAAUCACAAAAAAAAGUUUUAUUUAAAAAAAAAAAAAAUACAGAAAAUAAAAGCCUGUCAAAUGUGCCUAUCUGUGGUGAGUUACAAAAUAGUAUAUUCCUUUUUAGCACCAAACAUAGCUCUAUGUGACAUGGGGCCAAGACUUGGGCAGAUUUAUUCAUGACAAGGAGAAUUCAAAGUGAAUUUCACAUUUAAAUCCAAGCACCCCGACAGGUGCCAUAGCGGAAUAAAGAAUUAGAGAAUGUUUCCAGUUCAGCUAUUUUUGCCUUACAUUUGAAGUAUACGUUGAAUUCUCAUUUUACUAAAAAACUUACUUUCAAGGGAAUAAUCUUAAUACUAAACAAAUUACGAAUAUGGAUUAUUAUCCAUAGAAAUAUAACACAUGUGUAUAUAAUGUUUUAGGUACAUAAUGAUUUAAAAAACAGUUUUUACCCAUGUGAGGUUUUAUUCACUAAAUUAUGAAUUGGAGAAAAUCAAGGUGUAAAAUUUGCUGAAAAAUGUUCCAGUUCUGUUAUUUCAGCCUAAAAUGAGCAAUUACUUUUACAAUUAUGUAGAAAUCUGAAUUCUCUAAAUUGUAUCAGGCUAUAUCAUACUUUAGGUCAAAUGAGCAGAUUUGGAAACGUUAAUAAAUACGACACAUUCAAAGGGCAACUAGCACUUUCCUGGAUUUUUAAUAUGGGUGGUCCUCGUUUUGUGACCUACCUGUUUUACCACGGCUCGCACUUAUGAUCAUCUCUCUCGUGGGGUGGUAAGUGCGAGCCGUCGUGGGGAUUAGAGGGAUUCCCUGCUCUUGUGCGUACGUCUAUGUUCGGGGAAAUGUCUCUGAACACAGACAUUCGCACCAGAGCAGGGAACCCUUUAAAUCCCAAGUUCGGGGAAAUUUGCACGAACAUAGAUUAGAUGGCUUCCCUGCUCUGGUGCGUUCGUCUAUGUUUGGGGAAAUUUCCCUGAACAAAGACAAGCGCACCAGAGCAGGGAAACCCUUAACUCCUCACUUACCGAGCAAUUUGUUCUACGACCGGGUCAUAGGAACGGAACCCGGUCGGUAAGUGAGGAUAUAUAUGCACAAAUACGCUUUUUUGAGGCCUGAUCCUAGGGUCACAGGUGCCUGGGUGCAGAAAUUUAUUUGGCACCCCCAGGUGGGCAUGGUCAUCUUGCUAACUGUUGCCAUAAAAACUUGGCAAAUGUUCAGUCCAGGCAUGCAUGUUUCUUUUGUAAUGACUCCAUCACUCCAUUUAUAUGCCCCACCCCUUUUUGUAAUUAGACACACAAUCAGACGCACACACGCAAGGAAAGCAGGUGCCUACUCUGCCUUCACCUAGUAAGAACCACCUCUUGGGCCCCCUGUGACACUCCAUCUGUUCGCUUCUCAUGGCGCAACCCACCUCCUGGCACUGGGCACGCUGCACCAGCUGAGGAUCGGGCCUGGCCCUAGCUAUGCCUGGAAUUAACUGAAUUGUGAUAACAUUUUCUAAAUCUUUAAUAUACAUUUUUGAUACAUGAUUAAGGCUUUACGGCUGAAACAUUGUAUCUUUGUUUUGUCUCCUGGACCAUAAAUAAAUAUACUGUAUUCUUAACGCUGCACUGUGUAGCCUGUGGCUCUAUACUUCUGGUUUUAUAGCACACACAGAACUCCAGUGAAUCAAGAUACUAGUGUGCAGCACUCCACUUGCGAGUUAAAAGAAAUCAUAGCAGCACAAAUGGUUUACAUGCCCCUUUUGUGGGUGGUUACUUCCCAGACCUACCAACAGUCUUGCUUUUGGCUCGACAGGUCUGAUUUUGGGGACCUGUCCCACUGGGGAUCUGACCCCAGAGAGCACAGCGUAAAGCAAUCAUUAAAUGGUUUCAAAGUGUACUUAUCAUGGUUCACAGUUAGAUUUAAAUAAGAGAUGAAAAUUUCACUUAGGCAUUAUGCUAGCAAAAUGCUUAAAAAAUUUGGUCCCCCUCCACUUAUCAAUCAUUUCUAAGCAGAGAUCACUAUGCUGAUGGCAUAAAGGUUUAUGGCAACAAAUGAACAACAAGGUAGAACAGGAGAACCUUCUCAACAGUGGCGCACAUAUAGGGGUCACAGCUGCAAAUGGGCCGUCACUCCAGGGGGCCCAGCCGCCCUGCCGACCCCUGCGACAGGCUGCCCGCUGUCAUGUUUUGCGACCCCGGCCCGUGCAGCAAACUGCCGGAGCCGCCGUUCAAUGGGUCCAUCGGGUGGCACAGGCUGUUAGGGCCACCCGAUGGGUAUGGAUUUCCAGGGGGCCCGGUCAGCGCUGUGGCACUUUAACAGCGCAACUGGGCCCCCUGUGAUGACAUCACACGUUGGGAGGAAAAGACUGUCCUGGUCACUCCUCCCAGCAUACACAGAGCCCACGCGGGAGGAAGCAGAGGAGGGAGUCAUAGUGGGAACUCUGACUCCCAUCAACCUGAGCCACCACUGGACCCCAGGGAAAGUCACCCUACUGCAACUAAAAGGUAGGAAACAGGAGGGUGACUUAAACAUUUUGUAUCUGUGUAUGUAUGUCUGUCUGUCUUUUUGUAUGUAUGUCGUGUGUGUGUGUCUGUAUGUGUGUCUGUCUGUAGGUGUGUAUGUGUCUAUGUAUGUGUCUGUUUGUAUGUAUGUGUGCCUGUUUGUAUGUAUGUGUGUUGUAUGUGUCUGUCUGUAUCUAUGUGUGUGUGUCUCUAUGUAUGUAUGUGUCUCUUAUAUGUGUGUGUGUUUGUGUCUGUCAGGGGGUAGGAAAGGGAGGAGGGGGGGGAGCCCAUUGAUCAGUUUCGCACCGGGGCCCCAUGGAUUGUGUGUACGCCACUGCUUCUCAAUGCUGGUUCUUCUUCAGUCAUCUGUCAGCAAGCAAUUCCAGUGGAACAUAGAAACUGAGUAAUUUAAGACACACACCUAUCUCCUGUUCUGACACUGAUGCACUGCCAGUGAAACCAGCAUUCAAACAUUCAUCAGGUUAGAUUGACCUGCUUGAAAAAGUAUCCCCAAGCAGGAAUAAUCAUGCUAUAGAGGGUUGGGAGCAAAGCGGGACCAGUAAGUGGGUGUUACAAUAGUGUAAAACCAUCAUACCUCUGAACAUGGUCAUGGCAUGCUGGAAACAAGGUAAGAAAAAUAUUUACAGCUAUCAAACAAUUUAGUGUAUCAUUUUCAUUAUUUAUAUUAUUUUACUAUUUAUAUUAUUUUUUAUAUUAUAAUAUUAUUUUACUUUAUUUAUCCAGAAACCAGAACGUGAUGAAUGGGGCAGCACUCUGGAAGCUAUGCAGACAUCUCUGAAUAUGGAAAAGACUGUGAACCAGGCCGUGCUGGAUCUGCACAAGCUAGCAACUGAUAGAAACGACCCCCAUGUAAGUGCUAGUAGCUAAAAUUGCCAUAAUAUGUAGGCAGCUAAACAGACCUGAAAAUGACAUUCCAUCUCGAGUUCUCUGCAGUACAAUUCUAAAUAUGGUCCUGUUUUUAUAUAUAUCUAGCCAACUCCUUGGUUUUGCAACCCUCCCUGUCACAGGUUCCUCAUCCCAGGGCCCUAUUUAGCCUUAUACUGCAGAGAACUCCAGAUGAAAUUUUCUUCCCCAAGUCAGUAGCUAAUUUAGCAGAUAGUUGACUGUUAGAGUAGGACCUGCCAAAGAUGAGGUACAUUAAUGUUGUAGCAGGCUUAUGCAAUGUAUGAUCAUAAAAUGUAACUAAACCCCCAUUGUUUUUUGCCUACAAUAUGUGUUUAAAAAAAUAAAAUAAAUAAUAUCUGUCAGCAAAAAUGUUGCUGUUUAUUAGAUAAGGGAAUGCACUGGAUUUUUAUUUUUAUUGUACUUAUUGGCUCUCAGCAGCACCCUAUUUAUGCAUGUUUAGGUGAGUGCAGCCAGCCCCUUGUUAGGUGGCAUUUGAUGCCUGUAUGAAUUUCUUCUGACUCUCCUAACGUCUAUAUUACAUUUUGUAGACCUGAAUCUGCUGUCUGAUGAUACAAUUGGACUACUUAACCCCUCUAACUUUUCUGGGUGUAGAGGGUGAACAUCUCUCAGACCCACUUUUAAAAGUGUUUAAACCAAAAUACAUAGCAAUGGAUUUCCUACUGCUUUUGGGAAGAUAACCUACAUUGUCAUGAUAGGGGAGAUCCUUACUUGAUGCCUACCUAGGACAUUGUUAUUCAAACCUAUCCUCAGGACCACAGGCUACAUUUUAUACAACUACUGCUAAUGAAAGUGGAAAUGUCAGUGGUUGUGUCAUGGUACUCCCAUGGGAAUAUCUUAAUUCUGGCCUGUUGGUGGGUCCUGAACACAAUUUGGAACAAGAGUGGUUGAGAAAAUUAGUUGAUAGUUUAAGUAUCAAAUAUAUCCAUGCAAAAUAAACAGCCUAGAUGAUAUAUGGGCUCAGUUACUAUAUAUACUACUAUCCAUGCUUUCCAAACUGAGCUUAAGCAUCUUUGGAGAGAGUGGAGACAAACAUAUGGUUUAGGGUUUGAUUGCCAAUCUUGUUGGGUAGAUGUUUACAGUUUUGAACACAACUGUAAGGAGUCUCGUUGCCUAGUUUAUUGGUUCUACCAUUGAGUUUAUGCCCUAACAAUGUUAUCUUUUUACAGUUAUGUGAUUACUUGGAAAGUGAGGAGCUCGAGGAUCAUGUGAAGCGCAUUAAGAAACUUGGCGAUCAUAUCACUAAUCUGAGACGCCUUGGGGUGCCACAGAAUGGCAUGGGAGAGUACCUGUUCGACGAGCACACCUUGCCGUAGAGUAGCCAAGAUCUUAAUCCUCAGAGAGAGAACUUCCAGCUUUCUAUACAUUCCUCCUAAUCCUUCCUCUCUCACAAAUUGUGGUGCUAAUAUGCCUUUCUACUGUCAAUAUGUAGUUGAACUGCAAUUUCCAUUAUGCUUGGUCAUGGACGUUAUAGUUCAACAACUGUUUAAAAUCAAACUGUUUGUUCUAAGCCCUGUGAAAGCAUCCAUCGGUUCUCCCAGUACAAAUUUGGCAGUGGUAAUGGCCUCUCUUUGGAAAAUAAGAAAUGUCUACUUGUCUGUGUGCUGUAGUAUUUAAGAAUAAAGAGAACAUGUCAUUCAAAAUGCAUAUUGGCUCUUGGUCUUAUUUCUAAAUUAUGUUUUCAGUUGUUACACUGUGUUUAUGAAUUAAAAGCUUACCCUCAAUCUUUUAUUUCUUACCAAAAACACACAAAUGUAGCUUAACCCCUGCAGGUUUCCCUAUCAGUGGCUUUCAUUCUUUGACAGCCAGCCAAUCAGCCUUCAUUGCCUACUAUCUACAAAAGUACGUUCCGAGAGUGAGGUCUUAUAUUAAGGAUAAUAAGCCAUUUUUGCAAGAAAUGGAUAGCAUAGAACAGGGGCGGACUGAGAACCCUCAGGGCCCCCGGGCAAAAUAAAUCAAGGGCCCCCUUACAGGCCCCACCCAUACUCUGCAGCAAGCGCCACCCUUGUCCCGCCUCCAUGCACCGCCUCCAGCCACACCCUACACAAUCUUUAGACACAAGGAACAAAAGGGCAAUAAGCCCUUCGAGGCCCCAGCAGAGACUACAAUUGAGGGCUAAUGGGCCAUGGAGGGGGGUCUUUCUAGCGGGGCUAUCUCAGUGUCCUUUAGAGAGUGUGUUAGAAAGAAUCUCCCUCCAGGCCCCAUUAGAGACUACAAUGGAGUCUAAUGGGGCCUGGAGGGUGGUCUCUCCAACACUCUGGUUUCUAUUCACAAUAUAGCAACACAACAUAGCUCGCUGAUACCUAGGCCAAGUUGGCUCUUCUUACCUUAAUUACUGUUGCUGGCUGGCAGUCUGUGGGCUUGCUUGCUGCGGCUGGCAGGCUGUGGGCUUGCUGGCUACUGCCGGCAGGCUGUGGGCUUGCUGACUGCGGCUGGCAGGCUGUGGGCUUGCUGACUGCGGCUGGCAGGCUGUGGCUUGCUGGCUGCGACUGGCAGGCUGUGGGCUUGCUGGCUGUAAGCCUGUGGCUUGCUGUAGGCCUGUGGGCUGGCUACUGGCCUGUGGGCUGGCUAACUGGCUGGCUAACUGGCUGGCUACUGGCCAGCCUGUGGGUUGGCUGGCUGGCUACUGGGGCACUUGUAAAUUAUUUAAAGAAAUAAUCUAUGCACAAUAACCACUACUGCUCCAGAGUAAGUAGUCAAACCAUUUAAGAACAGUUUGACAACUUACCUGGGAUCUGCUGGGAUAUGGGGCUGUAGUAGGGAAUAGGAGCAGUGGUGCAAUGUGUGUGAAAGGUUCAGUGUAUGUGUAGGGUGUGUGGGCUGUGUAUGUGUGUGGCAAUGUUAGUAUGGGGGGCUGUGUAUGGGGGUCUCUGUGUAUAUGGGUGGGCAGUGUAUGUGUGUGUGUGAGGCAAUGUGUGUAAAUGUGUAUGGUGUGUAUGGGGGCAGUGUGUGAAUGUGUAUGGUGUGUGUUUGGGGGCAGUGUGUUUAUGGGGCUAGAGUUCACUCUCACCACUGCGACCACCAGGAAUCCCUGGGGGUCACAGUGUUGAGAGNNNNNNNNNNNNNNNNNNNNNNNNNNNNNNNNNNNNNNNNNNNNNNNNNNNNNNNNNNNNNNNNNNNNNNNNNNNNNNNNNNNNNNNNNNNNNNNNNNNNAGAAUUAACAAGUGAAGUUGCGACAAGGUAAGGUCACCAACUGGGACAUAGAGGACCCAGGUUCAAUCCCAGCCAGGCCCUGAGAAGUGAUGAUCACGCCUGGCAGUCUGCUUGGCACGGUGCAAACCCUGCCACACUUGAUGUGACAUCGUUAUAUACAGUGAUCAGCUAUUAUUAAGGAACAGAGGCUGUAAAAUUUGACAUGGAUAAAGAUGAUGAAAUGUCUAAGGAAUUAAAAUAUUUCCUUUCACUAUCUGGUAAAUUUAUUUUGGAACAUAAUUAUUUUUAUUUUGAGGUUAAGUAUUAUUUGCAAGUUAGGGGUAGCGCCAUAGGCACCAAGUUUGCCUCUAGUUAUGCCAACAUCUACAUGGUGAGAUGGGAGAACCUUUUUAUGUAGUUUGAACAUGACACAGAGGGAAAACAUGGUGACAUCAUUAUAAUUUGGAGGAGGUUUAAAUCUUGAUUUAAUAACUUUGUACAUGACCUUAAUUCUCUUCAAUAUAAUUUAAAAUUUACAUUGACAUGGAACAAGAAAGCAAAAGGACAACUUACAAGGGUGAGACCAAGUUGUUCUGAUAUAUAGGAUAUAUCUGAUAUAUAGGAUUUCAGGUUACAAGCAGGACAUAUAAAAAUAAAUUAGUUUAAAAAGGUUAAAAUAGAGGGGCAGAGCCUGACUCUUCAGCUAACCGGACGUGUUCUGUGUGCUCCCACUAUCUAUGCUGAUUCCCUCGAAAAUAUCAUGGGCUACCAUGGAAAUUUCAAGCUGAGGUGCUACCUAUCUGAGGGGCAACCCAACUAAUCUUUUGAGACUUCUACCACAGCCUGUAGCCACCAGGAUCCGUGGCGGCAGGUUGUGGCCUACUAACAGGUUGUGGAAAACUUCCCCACUCAAUGCUGUACAGUCUGGUGAAUCUUCUAUUCCCCCCUCUGUACCGGUGGGGGUUAUCCCGGUCAACACUGAGCUGACCUGUUGAAUUGUUCUAGCUCCAGACGCCUGCCUCUUGAUCUGCAGCAGCCAUUCCUCACAGGGCUGCUAGUUUAAACUGGUCUGGCAGUGUCCCUAGGACAAUAAGACAAUGCUCUGCUGGGGAAACAAUAGGACAGGAAAAAGGGUGAGGGGAAGGGGGAAAGGCACAGACUCUCAAUACAUUCAACAUGCUGUCACGGCUUCUAGUGUGGUCCAACAUGCAGAAACUAUGUAAACAUAUACAUAAAAAGGAAAGGAAAUAAAAGGACAGAGCGUAAACCGGACCUUAGAAUGGCCGGACUAAUACGCUAGAGAUAGAGAAUGGUCAAAGGGAAAGCCAAGGUCAAGGAAGCCAGAAAUACUCAGAUACUGUUUAAACAAGCCAAGUCGGGGGAACCAGAAUUCGGAAUAACCAGGGAAAAGCCAAGAUCAGGAUACCAGGAAGUAAUAUUCACAAAGAUAAGUGCACUCUAGGGAACCAGGAACAGGAAACCACGACAGGGCAAGGUACUGGGGUGAAUUAGGGAUUUAAAUAUCCCUCUCUAGGCUCUGAUUGGUCAGAGGGUGACCUCUGACCCCAGAACGUGCGCGUGUGUUGACGUCGUGACGUCACACGCACGUUCAUAUAAUUUUGGGGGGUGGAGCCAUGGAUGGACGCAACCUCAUGGUCGGUGCCAUCUUUGAUUUCCCCGAGCGGCGUGGAGGAGCGGUUCCCGUCUCGCCGAUGAGCAGGUAAGCUCAGUGAGUUGGUGCGGUCGUGCCGGUCGGGCACGGACGCACAUGGCGGCGAGCCGGGGAACGUGACACAUGCACUGCACCAAUACUGGGCACAGGGUGCCAAAACACAAGAGUAAUCUGGGGACCCACACAUAGUGUCUGUCUUCCAUCCCCACUGAUGGUGACUUCCAUCACAGAACAGUUUCCAUUUAAGACAGAUAUUGACUGCUGCACAGACUUUGUAGUGUAUAUGCAAGAAUGUCCGUGUGGCAAGCAAUAUAUAGGCCGUACUAAAAGUGCUUUAAAGAUUAGGACCAUGGAACAUAUAAACAACAUAAAAAAGGCUAUAUGUCUCAUCAAUCCCAGUACAUUGUAAUUCAUGUCCAUUAUUUAACUUCCGUUGCAUUGGAAUUGAAAAGAGAUACCCUCAUUGGAGAAGUUAUACCCUCAUCUAAGACUGGUAUCUAUAGAUAUCAUUAAUGUUUGAAACAACAACCACAAUUUUAUGUUAUCAUCCUUAUAUUAAAACUUUUAUCCAGUGAAAAGCCUGUUUACUUCAUGCUCAUAGAAAUUGUUGUUUGCAUAUAAAUAUAAUUAAAUUAGUUUAUUAAACUUUCUCCAUAUAUAAACCCACAAGAAUUUAAUAUUUCAGCGAUCAAAAAAUGCCAUUUGACAUAAAGACUCUACAUCCAGAAAUGGAUUUACUCCUUCAGAACCAAUGAAAGACGUGCCUGUAAUGGAGCAUCUGUACCCAGAGUGGAACCUCCGCUGUAGAUUCUCCCAGGUCCAGUAGUGAAGCAGUGAUUAUAACUCCUGCAUAUCCAAACACCAGCCGAGACUUACUGAAGGAUACAAAAAGAACUGGUUUGUUCAUCCAAAAGCAUACAUUUAUACACAGACCCUCAGCUAUUCAGGAACCCUUAAAGGGACACUCCAGGCACCCAGACCGCUUCAGCUCAUUGAAGUAGUCUGGGUGCUGUGACCCUUUUGCACUUAGAGAACUGCAAUGUUUACAUUGCAGCUCUAAGUCUGCCCUCAGUGGCUGUCUACCAGACAGCCACUGGGGGCGCUUCUGGAAUCUAAACAGACUUUUGGUCCGUUAUCUCACGGACCUCCAGUGUCAGAUUUUCCCCAUAGGAAUAACUAUUUUCGGACACUGAAACUCCCGCACACUUCUGAACUUCCAGGAUCGCCUGUGUUCGGUUCUACACCAUGUAAAAGGGCACUGUUCAGAGGAAUUGUUCCCAUGAACAAGGUGAACAAGCUCCAGGGUAUGAACACUGACUAUGUUGGGUAGUUUGUUCGGUUUUUAAGCUACCGGACUUGACCGACCGCAAGCCCUGAUUCUCUGGAGCUGUUUUGGGCAUGGGACCAUGCGUGCGGUCGGUCAAAUUAUGACUUCCAGGAAAUUCCCUUCAAACAUGCAACUGUAACCCCAAUUCUAAAGAAGCCCAACCUUGACCCUAACUCCCCGUCCAACUAUUGUCCUAUCUCGCUAUUGCCUUUUGCAUCCAAGAUCCUUGAAAGAGUUGUGUAUGCGAGAUUGACAGACUUCCUCAAGUCCAGUUCUCUGCUAGACCUGCUUCAGUCUCGUUUCUGUGCUAAGCACUCGGUGGAAAUGGCACUGACCAAAGCAUCCAAUGAUCUACUUGCUGCAAAAUCUUGUCGUCACUACUCAAUCCUAAUUCUCCUUGACCUUUCUGUGGCUUUUGACACUGUUGAUCAUCAACAGCUCCUUCUCAUCCUCCACAAUAUCGGCCUACAAGAUAUUGCUCUCUCCUGGUGCUCCUCCUACCUCUCCCAGCACUCUUUCAGUGUUUCUUUCUUUGGCUUUGCUUUUUCUCCCCAACUCCUCUCUGUUGGUGUCCCCUAAGGUUCAGUCCUUGGUCCCUUACUGUUCUCCAUCUAUACUGCCUCCCUUAGUAAACUCAUUAGCUCCUUUGGCUUCCAAUAUCAUUUUCAUCCGGAUGACACGCAAAUUUAUCUGUCCUCUCCGGAUCCCUUUUGACUAGUUUCUCUGACUGCCUCUCUGCUUUUUCUAACUGGAUGGCUACCCACUUCCUUAAACUCAACUUGACCAAAACUGAAAUUCUGGUCUUUCCUCCCUCAAGUGUUGCUACUCCUGUGUCUGUCUGUCUCCAAGUCAACGGUGAUAACAUCAGCUCCAGCACGCACGCUCGCUGCCUAGGUGUUCUCUUUGAAUCCGACCUCUCCUUCAUGCUUCAUGUUCAGUCUAUCGCCAAAUCCUGCCGCUUCCAUCUCAAAAACGUUACGCGCAUCCGACCCUACUUAAAGGACCACUAUAGGCACCCAGAUCACUUCAGUUUAAUGAAAUGGUCUGGGCGCAAGGUCCCUCUAGGGUUAACCCUGCCUGCUGUAAACAUAGCAGUUUCAUAGAAACUGCUAUGUUUACAUAUGGGUUAAUCCAGCCUCUAGUGGUGGGAAGGGACGGUGAGACCCCAGCCAAGCUGCGGCAGCUAAGGGGCUAUGGUGCUUAUGGUGUUGGGUGCGGGGCUUAUGGUACUCAGCGGCAGCUAGGAAGCAACGAUUGGUGGAGGCACCCAGCGACAUGGGAUGGGGGGCGGGAGGUAGGCACUCCAGGAUUCUCUAGUGCCAGGAAAAUGUUUUUUUUCUCCUGGAGAGUCCCUUUUAGCCCACUCAGGCAUCUCUGUGUCUGGGAGAUAAUUGAGUUUAUAACCGGUAAACUAAUUAUCUCCCUGAUACAGAUAGCUGAACCCAGGAAAUACCCCAAAAACACCCAUUAAACACGUCAUAUAUCAUUUUAAAGAGAUCAGAGCACCCAUCCUAGGAAAUUAGUGCUCUGAUCCCUGAAUAAUGCAUUGAGAGUCCCAAACUCUUCAGUAGGACGUCUCUGUGUUUUCCUUGGAACUCUGGCUCGGCCACACUUACCACCUGGGCCUAGUCAGUUUGUAUCACAUCAUUCUGAAUGAUAAAACCAGUUAUACUGCCAGAAAUAUGUCCUGUCUAGUUAUUGGGGGAACGGAGCUAUAUUCACCAACAGUUCUAUUUCUGUCUGAGAGGAGAGUUUAGGGUUACAAGUUGUCCGCUACACUAAUUAUCUCCCGGAUACACAAAGUACAAAACAUAAAAUAUCCCAAAACACAGGUAAUAUUGUCCAGUGCCCCCACAUGCCAUAUAUUAUUAUUAUUAUUAUUAUUUUAUUAUUUAUAUAGCGCCAACAAAUUCCGUAGCGCUGUACAAUAUAUCCCCGGAAAGAUCUCUCUGGAGCGUCCACCUUCUAUGGAAACCCUGAUCGUAUAUGGCUAGCCCGAAUUCUAUUAUAGUACAAAGUUCAGCAGAAUGUGGCUAGCCUCCAAACCAAAGAAGAGUUUCAGAGUGCUGGAUAGAGUUUCCCAGUCACAUUAAAGCAUGGCACUUUUCGUGAUGUUGUUCAAAGCCUCUAUACCUCCUCUGUUAACUCUCCAAAGAGCAACCUGGUGUCCAAAAUUGCUCUUGUUAAACUUUUAGUGGACCGUGUUAACUCUGCUAUCCACUUUAGAGUCCCAGGGUGAAUGAGAGUCACUCCCGGUCAGACGCACCAUGUCUCAGCAUCCCUCUGGUGGAAGAUAGGUGGCUAUAAACAGCCAGAAAGGAGCACUGGGCUGGGAGACAUGGGUUGGAGUGUUAGUCCAUAGUAUGGCUUAGGUGACCAAAGGGUCCAUCACAUUGAUAUAUCUGAUUUCUCCUAGUCUUCUGCUACUUUCUAACUUCUCAGUGGUACCACUGCUAAUUACCAUGUUAUUUAGUUUAAUUUCUUCUUACCUGCUGCUGUUUUAACUCCCUACUGACAUGUAUGCUCUAUCGUUUUACGUCAUAUAAUAUACUAUCCAUGUCUGGAUGAUCUUCUCAGCUUUCAAAAGCCUAGGAUUACUUACCAUCUGAGACAUGUAUGCAUAUCCUAGAUUUAGCCUGACUUUACUUUUUUUUUUUAAAUCUAAAAUAUAAGUAAAAUCUUUGAUAAAGAGUAUUUAAAAACAAGCAGAAAGAUUAAACACACAUUUCCAUUUAACAGCUCUGAAACACGUUCCAUGAUAAGAUGCUAUUCCCUUGUGAAUAACAUGACAAUGCAGAAAUUCAAGCCAGUAAUUCAACCUGUAACAUAAAAGCCAUCGCUGAAAUGAAUCAGCAGAAUCUCCCUGCACUCAUUGGUUCUCAGCUAAUGGGAAGGUGAGAUCUGACUUCAUUUGUGGAAAUAAACAGAAUAUAUAAGUCGCCGCAGCUACUGCAGAAUCACCGUCAGAGAAAGUUCUUGCUUCAACAGUGAUUGAACGGAACUGCUUCUGAUAUUCAGAAACAAAAUCAUUUUAUUCUACCAGUUCUUUAAGAUCAACAGAAACAUGAACUCUCAAGUACGUCAGAACUACAGCCAUGACAGCGAGGCAGCCAUUAACCGCAUUGUGAACCUUAAAAUGUUUGCGUCGUACACCUACCUAUCCUUGGUAAGUUGAAAAAUAUCUUGAUAUUUGACAGUGUUUAUAGUAGUUUUUAUAGUAAACUACCAUGUUUCCUAUAUUCAAAUAUAAGAAAAACACUGUCAGACAUAUUUCUAAUUAAUCUGUUUUAAGAAAAGCUAUAUGUCUGUCUGUCUGUCUAUAUCUACUAGGAAUCUAUAUAUCGAUCAAUAUAUCCACAACUGUUGUCCAUUUUUUAGUCUUACUACUUUGACCGCGAUGAUGUGGCUCUCCAUCAUGUGGCAGAGUUUUUCAAGGAGCACAGCAACAAGGAGCAGGAGUGUGCCGAAAAAUUUCUGAAUUGUCAAAACAAGCGCGGAGGGAGGAUCAUUCUGCAGGAUGUGAAGGUAAACACGAGCAAUGACAAACAACAUUUGGGGUCUGGGAAAGGUAAUCUGUAUAAAUACAACUACUAGCAGUCUAAGCCAGUUGCAAUUAUUUGCUGUUUAUUGAAUCAGCCUUCAUACCGAGAGGGCUUUUAUCAAGACCUUUAUAAAGGUCUUGAUAAAAGUCCUCUUGGACUGUAACAUCGAUAUCUGUAUUGUGCUGAAUAAAAAGCAUCUACUUUAUUUCUACUAAGACCCCUGAGUGCACUCGUCUUGUUUGCAUAUAUUCUGGUUGGAGCUAGCACCAGGGCAUUUACAAGACCUGGGAACCUGGAUAUAGUUAUUUUUUAUGUUGCAACACAUUCACAAUAUAGGGAGAUAUGUUUCCUUAAAUGAUUAAAGAAAAGUGAGAAAUCUAAUGUAAUGUAUUUCGAUUCCCCAGAAACCAGAACGUGAUGAAUGGGGCAGCACUCUGGAAGCUAUGCAGACAGCUCUGGAUCUGGAAAAGAAUUUGAACCAGGCCAUGCUGGAUCUGCACAAUCUAGCAACUGAGAGAAAUGACCCCCAUGUGAGUUUUAUUACAUAACAUUGCCAUAAUAUCGGAAUGCCUAUAUAAAGACAUGUAGCCAUAGCUGGAAAUAGCUUGGCUUUUUGAUUACGUUUUUAUUAUAGAAUAGAAUGUUCCUAUAAAUAUAUUUUAUUAACCUUUCUCACUUUGAUCAGUGUUUGCAUGUGUUAUUAUAUUAUUGCCAGUAGAGGGCUGAGUAUCAUUGGUUAUAAAUGCCGGUAUAUACAGCAACCUGAUGAAUACAUGUUUAGCUGUCAUUUGAUGUCUGUAUGAACGGCUUCUAACUCUCCUAAUGUUUAUAUUACAUUUUGUAGACCUGAAUCUGCUAUCCAAUCAUACAACAGGGCUUUUUACCCCUCUAAGUUUUCUGGAUGUAGAGGGUAAACAUCUCUCAGACCCACUUUAAAUCUGUUUAUAACAAAACCAAUAGCAAUGGAUUUCCUACUGCUUUUCGGAAGAUAACCUACAUUGUGAUGAUUGGGGAGUUCCUUACUUUGGGCAGACUAUAUGGGCCGAAUGGUUCUUAUCUGCCGUCACAUUCUAUGUUUCUAUGGUGUCUACCUAGAACAUUGUUCUUCAAACUUAUCCUCUUGACCCACAGGCUACAUUUUAUACAAUUACUGCUAAUGAAAGUGAGAAACUCAGUGGCUGUGUCAUGGUACUUCCAUAAGAAUAUAUAUAUAAAUAUAUAUGUAUGGGUACACCAAAUUUUCUUUUUAUAUUCUGUAUAUAUUAAAUAAAAAUAAAAGACUAUAGUAGCAACUUAUUAUAAUAAAAUACACUUAUGUUCCAAUUAAUGGUUACAUGUAUUGUAUUAUAAUAAGUUGUUACUAUAGUCUAUUAGUCGUAUUUAUUAUAUGCAGACUAUUAAGAAAAAUGCACACAUAUAUUUUUUUUUAUUCCUGUUGAAUUAUUUAGUUGCUCGGUUUGGGCUGCUGCCUUUUCAAUCCAUUUCUAUAAAUUUUUAUUAAAUUCCACUUUGUUGUUUGACUCCCAUGGGAAUAUCUUAAAUUCUGGUCUGUUGGUGGAUCCCGAACACAAUUUGGAACAAGAGUGAUUGAGAAAAAAAAAUUGUUCCUCAGAUUAUGUAUCAAAUAUAUAUAAUUCUAGAUGAGAUCUGGGCUCCGUUACUAUUUAUACUCCUAUACUUGCUUUCCACACUACGCGUAAGCAUCUUUGGGGAGAGUGGAGACAAACAUGGUUUUAGGGGUUGAGUACUGAUGUUGUUGGAUAUAUGUGCACUGCGGCAUUGCGCAUAACUGUAAAGAGUCUUGUGGACUAGUUUAUUGGUUCUGAAUCUGAGUUUAUGUCUUAACCCUGUUGUCCUUUUACAGUUGUGUGAUUACUUGGAAAGUGAGCAGCUGGAGGAAUAUGUGAAGAACAUUAAGAAACUUGGCGAUCAUAUCACUAAUCUGAGACGCCUUGGAGUGCCACAGAAUGGCAUGGGAGAGUACCUGUUCGACGAGCACACCUUGUCGUAGAGCAGCAAAGAUCUCCAUCCUCAGAGAGAGCACAUCCAGCAUUCUAUACAUUCCUCCUAAUCCUUCCUCUGUCACAAAAUGUGAUGCUAUAUGACUAUCUCUACUGUCAAUAUGUCAUUGAACUGCAAUUUCCAUUAUGUUUGGUCAUGGAAGUUAUAGUUUAAAAUCAAACUGUUUGUUCUAAGCCCUGUGAAAGCAUCCACUGGUAAUCCCCAAAUAAGUUUGGUAAUAGCCUCUCUUUGGAAAAUAAGAAAGUUUUGCUCGCCUGUUUUCCUGUUUUCCGAACAUUAAAGAGAGCAUGUCAUUCAAAAUGCAUAUUGGCUCUUGUUAUUAUUUGUAAAUGAUGUUUGUAGAUGUUACACUGUGUUUAUAACUUAAAGGUCUAUCGUCAGUAAAUGAUGUUCUGUGUUUCUCCUUUUUA
This 16842-nucleotide long non-coding RNA is filed under the name Pelobates cultripes (western spadefoot toad). The stretch from base 120 to 153 matches the Rfam family "Iron response element I". The record is from RNAcentral. Lineage: Eukaryota; Metazoa; Chordata; Amphibia; Anura; Pelobatidae.